CCUACGGGAGACAGCAGUGAGGAAUAUUGGUCAAUGGGCGAGAGCCUGAACCAGCCAAGUCGCGUGAAGGAUGAAGGAUCUAUGGUUUGUAAACUUCUUUUAUAUGGGAAUAAAGUGAGGAACGUGUUCCUUUUUGUAUGUACAAUAUGAAUAAGCAUCGGCUAACUCCGUGCCAGCAGCCGCGGUAAUACGGAGGAUGCGAGCGUUAUCCGGAUUUAUUGGGUUUAAAGGGUGCGUAGGUGGUUAAUUAAGUCAGCGGUGAAAGUUUGUGGCUCAACCAUAAAAUUGCCGUUGAAACUGGUUGACUUGAGUAUAUGUGAGGUAGGCGGAAUGCGUGGUGUAGCGGUGAAAUGCAUAGAUAUCACGCAGAACUCCGAUUGCGAAGGCAGCUUACUAAACUAUAACUGACGCUGAAGCACGAAAGCGUGGGGAGCAAACAGGAUUAGAUACCCGGGUAGUC
RNAcentral lists this ribosomal RNA (460 nucleotides) under uncultured bacterium. RNAcentral describes it as "partial 16S ribosomal RNA". It matches the Rfam family "Bacterial small subunit ribosomal RNA", at positions 338 to 795 of the family's 1533-position model. The record is from RNAcentral.